CAAUAGCGUAUAUUAAAGUUGUUGCAGUUAAAAAGCUCGUAGUUGGAUUUGUGGCGUACGGUGUGUUCCGGGCACUUGUUGUCUGAGUAACCUGCUGUUGCCAUCCUUGGGUGGAACCUGUGUGGCAUUAGGUUGUCGUGCAGGGGAUGCCCAUCAUUUACUGUGAAAAAAUUAGAGUGUUCAAAGCAGGCUUAUGCCGUUGAAUAUAUUAGCAUGGAAUAAUGAGAUAGGACUUUUUUGCUAUUUUGUUGGUUCGCGCAAAGAGGUAAUGAUUAAUAGGGACAGUUGGGGGUAUUCGUAUUCCAUUGUCAGAGGUGAAAUUCUUGGAUUUUUGGAAGACGAACUACUGCGAAAGCAUUUACCAAGGAUGUUUUCAUUAA
Molecule: ribosomal RNA, 380 nt
Filed under: uncultured eukaryote
Lineage: Eukaryota
Description: partial 18S ribosomal RNA
Rfam family: Eukaryotic small subunit ribosomal RNA
Source: RNAcentral